UUUCUUACAUUGACAUCUGGAUUAUUACCAGCUCUUUUUUUCUUUUGAAACACUUACCAGCUCAUUCUUCCUUUUAUUGUUUAAACUGUCUCUAUUUUAGCAUUUUUAAAUUUAUUUCUAAAUUUAUCGACCUAUCUUUCUCUCGUUUAUAUAUUAAUUUAUUGCCUAUUUAGCAAAGUAUGAAAAACAGAGUGUUAUACUCGUGGUUCCUUGGCUCUGCGAAUCUGGUCAACAAUUGGGCUUAUCACGGGAUCUGGCCUGAUAUUUCAUACGGAACAGUGAGGACCCGUGACUAUAUGCUUUCCUUUGUUUCUUCACCUGAAAAAAAAAGAGAUAGAGAGUGGCGAUGGCUAUUCGGAGGCGAUCUUCACAGCCGCAACAGAUGGAGCUCCGGUGAUAGCAGUUCAAGCUUGGAUGGUGCUCUCGGACUUUCCCUGGUCUUCGAUCUGCAGCAGAGAAGCUGAACCGACAACACAUCCAAGCAUCGGCGAUGGGUUCUUCUUCUCUUCUUCCUCCUCGGGCUUAUACUGUUUACAUAUGAGGACGACAUGCAUGUACAGAGUGAUCAUCAUCUACUGUUGGAACUUUACAUCAGCUACUGCCUACUGCCUUUUGAACAUUAUAUAUGGCUCUUAUUCAGCUUUCUCAUGGAACCCACACUUCUUUGAAAGCAACUCAUCUCCAGAUGGCAAAUGAGGGUGAAAAUCAUGGAGCAGACCAACCUAUGAAUGUCUUAGGUGUUCUUAAUCCUUCCAGAGUGAAUGGAUCAUUGUGGUUCAAAUGUGAUUCCGUAAUCACUAGUGAGAUAAGAACAAUCAUCCGAUCUGAUUUUCCUGGCCCGUAUCGAAACUAGUCAACUACACCGCAACAUGUGAAAGAGCGAUGGUGGUUCACAUUCAAGAGCAAAUUCUUUUGGAAUCACUUGAUUGAAUCCGAGGUGCGUAAGAUGUUUUGCAAAUGUGCUGCGACUAAACUGAUCAAUAUGAUCAGCCGAGUAAAAGAAAGAGAUAAGCAGCCAUAUUGGAUCCUUGAUGAUUACUACAAAGACUUGGUUGCCUACUGGGGAACAGAUAAAGCUAAGGAAAAAAGUAAAAAAGCGUCUAAGAGUCGAAUGUCAGAUCGAGCGGGCUGGGACCUCAUAAACACCGAUCUGGCUCACGUUCAUAUGCUAGGGUUGCCGAUAUAUUGAAAGAAAAGAACGGAGAUGCAUCUUACAUUGAUGUUCUUUGUGAGACACACAAGAAAUCAGACGGGUCAUUUGUGGAUGAAAGGGCAAGGCUAAUUAGUGAAAGAUUUGAAAAAAAUGUAGCUGAUCAUAUGCUUGAAGAUGAUGUCCUAGUCACAGAAGAGCUAACUUCUGAGAAGAAGAAUCAAAUGUAUUUGAAGUUGGUUGAUUCAACACAAGGUCGUGUGUUUGGUCUUGGAGCUCUUCUUAGUGAGGUUUCACUCAAUGCUAAAAUGCCAGUCACCAUUGAAGCCACUUAGAAAAUGAUGAGUUGAAGAAAAAUGUACAAGACAUUUCUCAAGAAAAUGAAGAUAUCAAUGAAAGGUUGAGCAAACUUGAAGGCUUGGAGAAAAUGAUUGCCAUCCUUUGUCCAGCUAUUCUAUCCAGGGUGUCAACAACCAAGUUUAAAUUGGUUGCUUUUGUUAUUCGAAGGUUUUAUUAGUUUUUUCUAGUUUUAAAUUAUUGCUGGUUUUUCUCUAUUAAUGCAUUGUUGAUUUUUUUUUUAAUAUUUUAGUUUAUUUAAUAAAAUUGGUGUUUGACU
Long non-coding RNA from Brassica napus (rape), 1766 nucleotides. RefSeq lists it as uncharacterized. Lineage: Eukaryota; Viridiplantae; Streptophyta; Magnoliopsida; Brassicales; Brassicaceae. The record is from RefSeq and is a predicted model, not a curated record. The transcript has 7 exons.